This 253-nucleotide ribosomal RNA is filed under the name uncultured bacterium. RNAcentral's name for it is "partial 16S ribosomal RNA". It matches the Rfam family "Bacterial small subunit ribosomal RNA", at positions 524 to 776 of the family's 1533-position model. The record is from RNAcentral.
UACAGGGGGUGCGAGCGUUGCUCGGAAUUACUGGGCGUAAGGCGUACGCAGGCUGUCGUGCAAGUCGGGUGUGAAAUCCCGGGGCUCAACCCCGGAACUGCGCCCGAGACUGCAUGACUUGAAUGCGGGAGAGGAAAGCGGAAUUCCUGGUGUAGAGGUGAAAUUCGUAGAUAUCAGGAGGAACACCUGUGGCGAAAGCGGCUUUCUGGCCCGACAUUGACGCUCAUGUACGAAAGCGCGGGGAGCAAACAGG